UUCUUUAUCUCUGUUUCCCUCUUUCUUUCAAUUGCGUUUUAUUAUUUUUUCCUCUUUUUUUUUUAAAAAAAAUCUGCGUUUGCUUAGGCUUGCUAAUUAUUAACGUGCCUUUCGAUUUAAUCAAUAAUUUGUUCCUGGAUUCUUCCAAAAUGCUUUUUAGUUUCUUUUUUGCUACAUCGAUUUUGGAUCUGUCUAUUUGCUGUGUAUAUGUGACUUUCCUUACUCUCGACUGACACACCGGAGAUUCAGUUCUAGCAGUUAACCUAAGGGUGAAACCCUAAUUUGCUUUAAUUAGUAAAUUUCGUAUCUGUUAUGGGUUUGUUUUCAAAAUGAAAAGAGAAAUGCCUUUAUCGGUUAUUCAUAGUUCUUCAUGCAAAUACAAUGAGUUCUUAUUUCCUUGUUGGAAGUUUGCGGACGAAGCAGCAUUGUAUGAAGUUAACAAUAAGGGAUAGAGUUUGGGCAUCUGUAAUUUUAUGGCUUGCAAAAGCUUUAAUGAUUUCAAUUUUAAUUGGAGUAAGGAUAUUUGAAUUCUUGUUUGCAAAAAUGACUGAAGCUUAGUUCACUUAAGCAUUGCCAAAAGUGGAAAAGAAAUGGGUUUUCUCUCUUUAAUUUGGCAUAUUGUAUAAUUUAUUUAGAUUUGUUGCACUGAAGUAGAUUUUUUUGCUGAUAUGUUAAUAUGAAAUGCCCAGCUGUAUGUGAUGAAAGUUGCAAAAAUUGGUGAUAAUAUCAUUCCUUCUGGAUUUGGAAUAUGCUAGUAAAAGCAUUAAGAGAAAGUCACAUGGUUUACUUGAUGUGUAGCAAAAGUUUAGAACUGAAAAGUUUGCCACCUUCAAAUUGUUGAAUUUUUUUGAUAAUCUUUGGCAGUGUCUUUAAAGCCAGA
Molecule: unclassified non-coding RNA, 880 nt
Filed under: Hevea brasiliensis (rubber tree)
Lineage: Eukaryota; Viridiplantae; Streptophyta; Magnoliopsida; Malpighiales; Euphorbiaceae
Source: RNAcentral